AACUUUCAACAAUGGAUCUCUUGGUUCUGGCAUCGAUGAAGAACGCAGCGAAAUGCGAUAAGUAGUGUGAAUUGCAGAAUUCAGUGAAUCAUCGAAUCUUUGAACGCACAUUGCGCCCCUUGGCACUCCAUGGGGCAUGCCUGUUCGAGCGUCAUUUACACC
Molecule: ribosomal RNA, 162 nt
Filed under: ascomycete sp. MA 4651
Lineage: Eukaryota; Fungi; Ascomycota
Description: 5.8S ribosomal RNA
Rfam family: 5.8S ribosomal RNA
About the family: 5.8S ribosomal RNA (5.8S rRNA) is a component of the large subunit of the eukaryotic ribosome. It is transcribed by RNA polymerase I as part of the 45S precursor that also contains 18S and 28S rRNA.
Source: RNAcentral